AGUUUUUUCAGCUGCUUGGAAGUAGGGGAGCCAUUUUCUACACACUGAUCUCCAUCCAGCCUGAAGGAGAGUCUUUAAUACUUUCUGUGACAGAUCGAGGCGUGUGGAGGCAAGAGUUGUGGAUUCAGUACCUCAUCAGCACUGGAUGUGAGUUCAAGCUACAAACAAACGCAGGCUUCGUGUAAAGCAAAAUCAGGCCAAUGCACACCGCUGUCAUGACUCCUAUGACAGCAGGGAGAGGAGUGUCUGGGCUUCCCUGCUGAUGCUGCUGUCCCCACGACCUUGACCCGGAUAUGCGGAAGAAGAUGGAUGGAUGUCUGUAGUGCUUAAGAUUGAUUUGAGUAUGGAGAUGGUGCAGAGCUGCAUGAGACCAGGACUGAGCCUGAAAACUUCUUCACCUGGGACACCUGGGAAGAUGACAGACUAUACCAACUCCAAAGACCAGGCUGAGGCACAGCAAACACAGAGGCUGCGAGCGAGACAAGAGCCGUGGCUGAAUGUCCAGUGGGAAGAGGAUCCAACUCUACAACAUCUGGACAGUGGAGAGAAGGAGAGAGGUCCCAAGACAUCUGAUGUUCCACUACAAAGAGCCCUGAGGGAAAAGAGGAGACACGGAGGGACUAGAGGGUCAAAUACAUGGAAGGCGGUGAGGCAGGCAUGCAGAUGUGCUUGUGGCACAUCAAACAAACAGAGAGGGCAAGAGAUGCACAAAGUGACACAAAGGUGAAAAUUUUACUCAUUAGAAAAAACUUUUUUUCUUAAUAGACUUAAGCCUCAACUUGGUCAGACUGUCUAAAAUCAGAGAAAUGAUCAGGAUCUGUUUUGCUCAUAAAAUAGAGAAAGUAUUGUUACCCAAUAACAAUUUUUAACAUAUAGGCUACACUAAACUGCUAGUUUACGUAUUUCUUGCUCACUGUCUGUCUUGUUAGCUUUCUAGCUUAACAGUUAGCUCCGUCUUGUUUACCUAGCUAGCUUAUAUUUUGUUCACAUGAAUUAUCUUGGACAAAGUAUUGUGUCUGUGCCCCUUAGAGAACACAGUCAUCUCUUUAUCUCCAGAAACUCUCUCUAGUAUUGAGCUCUGUGUCUCUUCAGGAAACACUUGAGAGGGUUCAGCUAUUACUUUUAAAUUGACAAUGAUGUGUCGAUGCUCUGCACCGUGGGGUGUCUUUGAGGAUCCCGAGCUUCCCAGAUUAUGUCAGACUGUCUUUGUGAACAUCUGCCAUCGACUUGUAUUAUUAACAAACCGAGUUUAAAGCUUUUCUGCAUGCUAAGAAAGGAAUGGUAGAGACAGUUAACAAAGUCAAAGACAGCAAUGAAACCAAAGCGAUGAGACCAGUGUCAAAAACAGAGGGGGGCAGGAUGUUGCUGCACUUUAUCGUCGGCUGUUGAAGAAUUACUACAGUAGCUUCAAAGACCUUCUCCCAGUGUGAACAGGAUACAGCAGAGGAUGACAUCUUCCAGUUCUUUCUGAUGUUUUUUUUUUUUCUUGUCUCAUGUGCAUCAAAUGAAAGUUGCAUUCAUCUUCAUCAAAUAGACUCACCACACCUGCCACUCAAACUUCAUGAUAGACUCGGAGGGAAAUGUCAGCUCUGGGAAUUUUGUGUCUUAAAUGGCUCAAUAAAGCACCUCAGUACCCCAGUCUGUUCUUUUACGACGUGUUUUAUGUGUGAAAAUAAAGCCCACUGUAUUUUA
Long non-coding RNA from Notolabrus celidotus (New Zealand spotty), 1692 nucleotides. RefSeq lists it as uncharacterized. The record is from RefSeq and is a predicted model, not a curated record. The transcript is spliced from 4 exons. NCBI's taxonomy places the organism in Eukaryota, Metazoa, Chordata, Actinopteri, Labriformes, Labridae.